Molecule: ribosomal RNA, 483 nt
Filed under: uncultured bacterium
Lineage: Bacteria
Description: partial 16S ribosomal RNA
Rfam family: Bacterial small subunit ribosomal RNA
Source: RNAcentral
AUUGAACGCUGGCGGCAGGCCUAACACAUGCAAGUCGAGCGGAUGAAGGGAGCUUGCUCCUGGAUUCAGCGGCGGACGGGUGAGUAAUGCCUAGGAAUCUGCCUGGUAGUGGGGGAUAACGUCCGGAAACGGGCGCUAAUACCGCAUACGUCCUGAGGGAGAAAGUGGGGGAUCUUCGGACCUCACGCUAUCAGAUGAGCCUAGGUCGGAUUAGCUAGUUGGUGGGGUAAAGGCCUACCAAGGCGACGAUCCGUAACUGGUCUGAGAGGAUGAUCAGUCAAACGGGACCGGGGAACCGUCCCAGACUCUUACGGGAGGCAGCAGGGGGGAAUAUUGGACAAUGGCGAAAGCCUGAUCCAGCCAUGCCGCGUGUGUGAAGAAGGUCUUCGGAUUGUAAAGCACUUUAAGUUGGGAGGAAGGGCAGUAAGUUAAUACCUUGCUGUUUUGACGUUACCAACAGAAUAAGCACCGGCUAACUUCGUG